RNAcentral lists this long non-coding RNA (879 nucleotides) under Parus major (Great Tit). Its description in RNAcentral is "lncRNA (ENSPMJG00000010962.1)". Lineage: Eukaryota; Metazoa; Chordata; Aves; Passeriformes; Paridae. The record is from RNAcentral.
CGGGGGACGCCCUGCGUGCCGGGCGGGCUGCCGGGAUCAGUCAGAUCCCGCUCCCCUCCGCUCUCCCCGGCUCUCCCCCGCUCCCCUCCGCUCUCCCCGGCUCUACCCCGCUCCCCUCCGCUCUCCCCGGCUCUCCCCCGCUCCCCUCCGCUCUCCCCGGCUCUACCCCGCUCCUCCCCGGCUCUCCCCCGCUCCCCUCCGCUCUCCCCGGCUCUCCCCCGCUCCCCGCCCGCGGUGCCUCCGCUGACUCAGAGCGGCACCGCCGCCGCCGCCGCUUCGCACGCGAUGCCGCCGGGUCCCCUCAUCCCCCGCGUCCUCCCGGCUCCCUCCCUCGUCCUGCGGAGGACAAGGGCUCCGCAGCCCCGCAGGGGAUGCUCGGGGAGGCGGGAGUCGGGCAGGAGUGGCUGGAGGAAGGGAGGAGAGGUUUCACGGCCAUAAUCCCAUUCUGUGGUGAGGCUGGGACAGGCCUCAUUGUCUCUUGCAUUUCCCUGCGGUGCCUGAUGUUACAAGCCCUGCUGGUGAAGGAUUUCUCCAUUUGGAGUGGAGCACAGCCCCUCCCAGGUAACAUUCCCUUCACCAGCAGCUUCCAAAUGCCGUGCUCAGGUCAGCUUUGAUUCUUGCAGGGCACACAACUGUAAACAGCCAAUGUGGCUGUGUGACCUGCAGGAGUAAUCUGUUUUCAGUUGUGGUCAAUUAAAUCCAAAGUUUUGUUGGGGUUUUUGGGGGGUUUUUUUGGUGGUUUUUGGUUAGUUUUUGGGGUUUUUUGUUUUUUGUUUUUUUUUUUUUUAAGGAAGGAAACCCACAUAAAUCAAACCUUGUUAAUUGCCACAGGCUAUUUUGUCCUUAGUUUAAUUCUGCCUUUUGUCAGUUAAACUGCCA